UACGGGGGGGGCAAGCGUUGUUCGGAAUUACUGGGCGUAAAGGGUUCGUAGGUGGCCAACUAAGUCAGACGUGAAAUCCCUCAGCUUAACUGGGGAACUGCGUCUGAGACUGGAUGGCUUGAGUGCAGGAGAGGAACGCGGAAUUCCAGGUGUAGCGGUGAAAUGCGUAGAUAUGCGGAGGAACACCGAUGGCGAAGGCAAUCCCCUGGACCUGUACUGACGCUCAUGCACGAAAGCGUGGGGAGCAAACAGG
This 253-nucleotide ribosomal RNA is filed under the name uncultured bacterium. RNAcentral describes it as "partial 16S ribosomal RNA". It matches the Rfam family "Bacterial small subunit ribosomal RNA", at positions 524 to 776 of the family's 1533-position model. The record is from RNAcentral.